CUUUCUGGUUGAGAUUGACGCGAUUGAGGUUUUCUUCUGACACUUCUUGUCUUUUUAAUGCAGAAUUCACGGAUUCAGAUCCAGAAGACGCCUUUAGCUUCUCUUCAGAUCAGCUGGUGAAGCAAGUUUCUCUGGCGUCUGAUCCUCUAACGGGAUCGAGCCGUCAUCUGUCCUGUCGCAGCCUCUCAGCCGCCUCCACUCCUCUCGCUGAGUCUGUUUAUCAACCAGAACCACCCUCCCCGGUCUCAAGGCAGGGGAUCGAUUCUGCUGUGGACGAACCUCAAACGAGCAGCAGGAGCUUUGGAAAAGCAGAUGUCGACCCAGAAACACCUGUAGAAGCUUCUCUUGGAACCUGUGCAACCCCUUCUUCCACCGCCCCCUGCCUUAGUCCAGAGAGGACCACUCCCUAUUCCAGACUAGAGAUGACCUUUUCUCCUUCAGGAUCUCGUCUGGGGUCCCACCGCUGGCCCGUCCUGCCCCCCAUCAGAGGACAUUCAUCAUCGUCCUCCUCAUCCUCAUCUCAUUGCUCUGGGUUGAGCUGCAGCAUGUCCCACAUUUUUGAUGACCUGGAGGCCAUUGCUCCUCCGUCCCCGUCCUGUCUUUCUCUGGAUGAGCCUUCAGACUCCUCUCGGUCUCUUUCACCCAACACAGAACUGUCUCCGGGCCUCGCAGCACUCACAGUGGGUUGUGACUCCGGAGAUUUGGGUUCUCUUUCCCGGGUGCAGCUCCUCCUCCUGGACCGACCAGUACCAGACACUCAUCUGAACCCGUCUGAGUUGGAGGAGGGGUUUUCCCCUUUGCCAGAUUGGUGUGAUCCAAUAGUGCCGUACGAUUACACAGAUGAGGGAAAUCCCGCUGAGGAGGAGCCCAAUUAUCAAGGAAAAGAGGACCGGGAUCUGUUUUCGGGCAGAGAGCAAAGGAGGCCCAAGAGUCCUGAAGGCAGAGCUGGACAGAGAGACCGGCAGAUGGAGGAGAGGGAAACAAAGGCGUGGAGCAUGCUCUCAAAACUGCAGGAAAACACGCCUCAGCAGAGCAGCAGUAGCAGAAGCCGCUCCAACUUUGAGGACUGUGAGUUUGGGAGCCUUUUGCCCCUUAAGAUGCAGAGGGAAAAAAGUUUAGCGCAAACUGCACGAAAACACAGCAUAAGACGAUGUUACAUUAGAGCUCUGUUGUCCUUUUUGUCCCCAUUCGUGAACAAAUCCAGAUAUUCUAUGUGACCUUGCGUUUGGUCUGUAUUCAGACUGCCGUCAACCGGAGAUUUCUGCUGUGGACCAAAGCUUGUAAACAAAACCACAUGACUAAAAAUCUAUUCACUCACUGGUCAGGAAUUAAGAGGGGGGGGGGGGGGGGCAAAGCAACUUAAGGCAGAAAUUAUGGAAG
This 1380-nucleotide long non-coding RNA is filed under the name Oryzias sinensis (Chinese medaka). RNAcentral describes it as "lncRNA (ENSOSIG00000007242.1)". Lineage: Eukaryota; Metazoa; Chordata; Actinopteri; Beloniformes; Adrianichthyidae. The record is from RNAcentral.